This 465-nucleotide ribosomal RNA is filed under the name Vreelandella stevensii. RNAcentral describes it as "partial 16S ribosomal RNA". It matches the Rfam family "Bacterial small subunit ribosomal RNA", at positions 338 to 795 of the family's 1533-position model. Lineage: Bacteria; Pseudomonadati; Pseudomonadota; Gammaproteobacteria; Oceanospirillales; Halomonadaceae. The record is from RNAcentral.
CCUACGGGGGGCUGCAGUGGGGAAUAUUGGACAAUGGGCGAAAGCCUGAUCCAGCCAUGCCGCGUGUGUGAAGAAGGCCUUCGGGUUGUAAAGCACUUUCAGUGGGGAAGAAAGCCUUGGGGCUAAUACCCUCGAGGAAGGACAUCACCCACAGAAGAAGCACCGGCUAACUCCGUGCCAGCAGCCGCGGUAAUACGGAGGGUGCGAGCGUUAAUCGGAAUUACUGGGCGUAAAGCGCGCGUAGGCGGUCUGAUAAGCCGGUUGUGAAAGCCCCGGGCUCAACCUGGGAACGGCAUCCGGAACUGGCAGGGUAGAGGGCAGGAGAGGAAGGUAGAAUUCCCGGGGUAGCGGUGAAAUGCGUAGAGAUCGGGAGGAAUACCAGUGGCGAAGGCGGCCUUCUGGACUGACACUGACGCUGAGGUGCGAAAGCGUGGGUAGCAAACAGGAUUAGAUACCCUGGUAGUC